UGAGGAAUAUUGGACAAUGGGGGCAACCCUGAUCCAGCCAUGCCGCGUGAGUGAAGAAGGCCUUCGGGUUGUAAAGCUCUUUCAGUUGUGAAGAUAAUGACGGUAGCAACAGAAGAAGCCCCGGCUAAAUUCGUGCCAGCAGCCGCGGUAAUACGAAUGGGGCAAGCGUUGUUCGGAAUCACUGGGCUUAAAGCGUGCGCAGGCGGUCUUGCAAGUCAGAAGUGAAAUCCCGGGGCUUAACCCCGGAAUUGCUUUUGAAACUGCAAGACUAGAAUAUGGGAGAGGUUAGCAGAAUUCCGAGUGUAGAGGUGAAAUUCGCAGAUAUUCGGAGGAAUACCAGUGGCGAAGGCGGCUAACUGGACCAUUAUUGACGCUCAGGCACGAAAGCGUGGGGAGCAAACAGG
Molecule: ribosomal RNA, 404 nt
Filed under: uncultured bacterium
Lineage: Bacteria
Description: bacterial SSU rRNA
Rfam family: Bacterial small subunit ribosomal RNA
Source: RNAcentral